AUACGGAGGGUGCAAGCGUUGUCCGGAUUUAUUGGGUUUAAAGGGUGCGUAGGUGGCGUGUUAAGUCAGUGGUGAAAGCCUGCAGCUCAACUGUAGAGGUGCCAUUGAUACUGACAUGCUUGAGUAUGGACGAGGUAGGCGGAAUUUGUGGUGUAGCGGUGAAGUGCAUAGAUACCACAAAGAACACCGAUAGCGAAGGCAGCUUACUGGACCAUAACUGACACUGAGGCACGAAAGUGUGGGUAGCGAACAGGAUUAGAAACCCUAGUAGUCC
RNAcentral lists this ribosomal RNA (274 nucleotides) under uncultured bacterium. Its description in RNAcentral is "partial 16S ribosomal RNA". It matches the Rfam family "Bacterial small subunit ribosomal RNA", at positions 523 to 796 of the family's 1533-position model. The record is from RNAcentral.